This 286-nucleotide long non-coding RNA is filed under the name Monodelphis domestica (gray short-tailed opossum). RNAcentral's name for it is "lncRNA (ENSMODG00000040183.1)". The record is from RNAcentral. Lineage: Eukaryota; Metazoa; Chordata; Mammalia; Didelphimorphia; Didelphidae.
CCGCCUUAGAAGAGUAACUUCCUCACCUAAGAUCUAGGAACACAAACAUAUGGAGGGAGAAGUAUUAGAUAAGAUCUCCUAGAAGAAUUCACUCUGGGAGGUCAGAAGGCUGACCGGAACCCCUCCAGUGGAGGCUGGAUGGGCAAAGCAGGACCCUGGAGCAGCUCAGAUCUCUGAAUUUGCUGCGCAUCAGAAGGGUUUGCAGGAUCAUUAAGCCAUCACCAAGUCCAACUUCAGAAAUUUUCACCAGUUUCCUGAUAUCUGCAGCAGUUAGAAGCAAGAACUG